ACCGGAUGAGUAAAUUCGGCCUGAAAAGUGUGCGAACUAGCCGGAGAUUCGUUGAAUCGGGCAUGGAUGGCAGUGACGAAGUUGGCCAGGGUGCUCGACGUAAGGUGCGUGGAAUGGCUUCAUCUAUUACGGACUCCGCCACAAUGGUCUCGGCAGAAGUCAGCACCACUAAUGACUCUCAGAAGUGCUUAUGAGCAGCUGUUAAACAUGGAUUUAUUGUUUGUAAACAGAACUAAAAUUGUUUAAUUGCAAAUGGCUGGUAUAUAUUUUUAUUUAAUACAAAAAAAAUUCUUUAAAUUUAUAGUUCAGAAUCAUUGCAGUUACUCUGACAAUAUAUACAUGUACUGUACUCAUUAAUUGUUCAUAAAGGAACUUGUAUUUCUGUUUCCAUCUUCAAGUACAGUAUAAAUACUGUGUAUAUUUAUAGAAUUGUGUGCACCUAUAAGCUUUGUGUAUAGGUGUGGAAUUAUACCAGCAUGUGUUAAUUCAUACAUGUAUGUAGAAUUUUGUAUGCAAGUCUUUAGAAUAAAAAAAGGUAACUAAAUAAUCAGA
Molecule: non-coding RNA, 552 nt
Organism: Procambarus clarkii (red swamp crayfish)
Lineage: Eukaryota; Metazoa; Arthropoda; Malacostraca; Decapoda; Cambaridae
Source: RefSeq, a predicted model, not a curated record